GAUGAACGCUGGCGGCGUGCCUAAUACAUGCAAGUCGAGCGAACGGACGAGAAGCUUGUUUCUCUGAUGUUAGCGGCGGACGGGUGAGUAACACGUGGAUAACCUCCCUAUAAGACUGGGAUAACUUCGGGAAACCGUAGCCAAUACCGGAUAAUAUUUUGAACCGCAUGGUUCAAAAGUGAAAGACGGUUUUGCUGUCUCUUAUAGAUGGAUCCGCGCUGCAUUAGCUAGUUGGUAAGGUAACGGCUUACCAAGGCAACGAUGCAUAGCCGACCUGAGAGGGUGAUCGGCCACACUGGAACUGAGACACGGUCCAGACUCCUACGGGAGGCAGCAGUAGGGAAUCUUCCGCAAUGGGCGAAAGCCUGACGGAGCAACACCGCGUGAGUGAUGAAGGUCUUCGGAUCGUAAAACUCUGUUAUUAGGGAAGAACAUAUGUGUAAGUAACUGUGCACAUCUUGACGGUACCUAAUCAGAAAGCCACGGCUAACUACGUG
Molecule: ribosomal RNA, 497 nt
Filed under: uncultured bacterium
Lineage: Bacteria
Description: partial 16S ribosomal RNA
Rfam family: Bacterial small subunit ribosomal RNA
Source: RNAcentral